Molecule: long non-coding RNA, 731 nt
Filed under: Sorghum bicolor (sorghum)
Lineage: Eukaryota; Viridiplantae; Streptophyta; Magnoliopsida; Poales; Poaceae
Description: long non-coding RNA (SBIC_LNC001297)
Source: RNAcentral
UUUAGGCCUUCUCUUUUUUAUUUUUUUAGUUAUUUAUUAACUUGAAUAAUAUUCUCUUUCUAUUUAUUCCUCAAAUCCUUCUCCUCUUUUUCUGCUUGGAGCGCCUAUUCCCGAGCGUCUGUUCUAAUUUUUUCUUUUCCAAUUUGUCUUUUUCGUUCGGACGUGCCUUAGUAAGGAGUGAGGGGCGAGCCGGGUGGGACGCAAAUGAUAAUGCUUCCUAUUUUCUUAGGUGUGGAGAUAAUAUAAAUUGGAUUGAUUUCAUUAUGGUAAUUUGAAUACUGGAUAUUAUUACUAGACCUCACAACCUCCGUUUAAUAAUCUAACAAGUAAGAGGUUUUUGUUUAAUUUGUUUGAUGAGUAAUUCUCCAUGUUGUAAAAUAUACAGUCUCUAGCUAGGUCUCUAAUUCUAAAAGGAAAAGAGGUGAAAUCUUAAUCAUAAUUUGCUCUCUACGUAGGUUCUUGUCAAACUCUUAGACCUAUAUAUAUGGGGGUCUACAUUGUAGUCAUCAAUAUUCAAUCAAUAAAAAUAAUAGUCCCCUAUGUUGUGUCUUUAUAUUGUUCUAGCGAUAUAUUUCACAACAUGACAAGCUCUACAUCCACCAUUAGAGCCACCGCCGAUCUCAAUAUUGACACUUAUACCAAUACCAAUGUCUCUGCCGAUAACUACCUUUAAGCACUAGUACAGACGCAUACUGUACAGGUGGCUGAAAAUCUAUUUCUACUGGCGUUUU